UCCACCAAAACUACAACGUAACAGAAGCCGAUGUGUGUGCACAGUGACACGCGUGAUUGGUUAGAGUCAGGMUGAAAAUAUAUUUGGCUGAGAUCUGGCCAGAAACAGAAAUCGAGUGGUAUGCAAAAGUCAAUCGCGUUCCAGGUGAACAUAGCAUCAAACUGCUGGACGAGCAUCGGUGCCAAUAUCUCCUGCCAGGACACCGGCUAUAGAUGGUCGAUUUCAGCUAAAGAGCUCCUGUCCGUCAGUCUCAGAUGGAGCCCUGCCAGACAACAAAGGUGUUCGCUACAAAACCCAGCUGUGUAAAUUGUUAAUUUUCAAUCAGUAAACAAAAAACCCGAGUCAUCGGCUGAAGCAAAUAUGAUAAUUGUUUGCGGAUUACGGAGAUCUGGCAGGCAACUCAACAGAGGCUGUGAGUAAACGGGAAGAAAGCUCAGCUCAAACAAAUGCACUUACUCAGCCAGUCAAGCAGAAUCCUCUGGGGAAUAAGAUGCUGGUGGGCACAGGAGGGUCUCUGCUGCAAAGGUUGCUUCAGUCAUUAAAACACACUCGAACAUCUAAAAAUAACAAGGUUUACUUCAGACGCCUGAAAAUAAGAGAAAAAUAAACAAAUGUUGAAAAGCCUUAAUGGUUAACAAUAGUGACCAGUUUAAAACACCUGACAAUGUGAUGCAGAAAAAAAGAUGUGGACCUGAAGCUGUGUUAAAACAAUAUGAUG
Molecule: long non-coding RNA, 718 nt
Organism: Austrofundulus limnaeus
Lineage: Eukaryota; Metazoa; Chordata; Actinopteri; Cyprinodontiformes; Rivulidae
Exons: 3
Source: RefSeq, a predicted model, not a curated record